GAAAUGCGAUAAGUAGUGUGAAUUACAGAAUUCAGUGAAUCAUCGAAUCUUUGAACGCACAUUGCGCCCCUUGGUAUUCCAUGGGGCAUGCCUGUUCGAGCGUCAUUUGUACCCUCAAGCUCUGCUUGGUGUUGGGUGUUUGUCCCCGUCUCCGCGCGUGGACUCGCCCCAAAGUGAUUGGCAGCCGGCGUACUGGUCCCGGAGCGCAGCACAUGUCGCGCAAACGAGUGCCUUGGUACGGCGGCGUCCAUAAGCCCCUCUCUCACGCUCUUGACCUCGGAUCAGGUAGGGAUUCCCGCUGAACUUAAGC
RNAcentral lists this unclassified non-coding RNA (310 nucleotides) under plant metagenome. Its description in RNAcentral is "partial contains 5.8S ribosomal RNA, internal transcribed spacer 2, and large subunit ribosomal RNA". The stretch from base 1 to 105 matches the Rfam family "5.8S ribosomal RNA", at positions 50 to 154 of the family's 154-position model. The record is from RNAcentral.